Molecule: non-coding RNA, 102 nt
Organism: Acanthosepion pharaonis
Lineage: Eukaryota; Metazoa; Mollusca; Cephalopoda; Sepiida; Sepiidae
Source: the annotation of a GenBank genome assembly
UACGACCACAUCACCUUGAACCACCGAUUCCCCUAAGUUAAGCAACGUCGAGCCUGGUCAGUACUUAGAUGGGUGACUGCUUGGAAAUACCAGAUGCUGUAA